GACGAUCGCUGCCGGCGGGGUUAACACACGCAACUCGAACGGAAAGUGCCUGCUUUUGUGGGGUGCUCGAGUGGCGAAAGUGUGAUUAACACGUGAGUAACCUUCCCUUGACUUGGGGAUAACUUCAGGAAACUGGGGCUAAUACCGGAUAGGAACGCCUGCUGCAUGGUGGGGGUUGGAAAGUUUCGGCGGUUGGGGAUGGACUCGCGGCUUAUCAGCUUGUUGGUGGGGUAGUGGCUUACCAAGGCUUUGACGGGUAGCCGGCCUGGGAGGGUGACCGGCCACAUUGGGACUGAGAUACGGCCCCGACUCCUACGGGAGGCAGCAGUGGGGAAUAUUGCACAAUGGGCGGAAGCCUGAUGCAGCAACGCCGCGUGCGGGAUGACGGCCUUCGGGUUGUAAACCGCUUUCGCCUGUGACGAAGCGUGAGUGACGGUAAUGGGUAAAGAAGCACCGGCUAAGUACGUG
This 468-nucleotide ribosomal RNA is filed under the name uncultured bacterium. RNAcentral describes it as "partial 16S ribosomal RNA". It matches the Rfam family "Bacterial small subunit ribosomal RNA", at positions 28 to 507 of the family's 1533-position model. The record is from RNAcentral.